Molecule: long non-coding RNA, 762 nt
Organism: Gallus gallus (chicken)
Lineage: Eukaryota; Metazoa; Chordata; Aves; Galliformes; Phasianidae
Exons: 4
Source: RefSeq, a predicted model, not a curated record
AGACUUCCCUGAGCCUCAGAGCUGAGAAGCAAAUUCUGAAAUUGAAUGUGGCAAAAACAACAAGAAGAUUUUUCAUACCACAGUCCUCUGCCUCUGUGGGAUCUGGGGAGAAGGAAGGGGAAGCAGCAGGUGGGGAUGGAUGGAGCUGCAGCCUGCCUGCCCAGAGGAGCUGGGCACUAGGACUGCACAGCAUGCCAUGCAAAGCAGCUACCCUUCACUUAAACACAAUCAAGGCCUGCAGCUCACAAAGGAACUAAUAAUAAUAAGCAGCAGCAGCACAAGAAGAUUCUGAAAGAAAACAUCUCCUCAAGGGAUUUCUGACUUAGCUUCCAGCUACAUGACAUACAAAGCAUCACAAAUUUCAACAUGUUACUUAACCACAAUGAGUCCUACUCACUCAGAGGUUUUCAUGUUCUGUCUACUUCAGACUCCAAAACUCAAGAUCCACACAACACAACAACAACAAAAGUGAACUUCAAAUUGCGCUGUACAGCCCAUAUCAAGCAUGAAAGUGCAGAGCCCCAGAAUGUCAAGGACUCAAUUAGAGGAAGAAGAAAUCUUCAAGGACACAGACUAAAAUGGGAACAAAAUAAAAAGCAGAGGGACAUAAAAAGCAGUGAAGAAGAAGCCACCAACAAGACCAAAACUUGGUACAGACAAUAAGGUAAACAUGCAUACGUGUAGGGUUAGCUAGGAAUAGAAGGCAGCAGACAAUGAAAAUGAAUUCAAUCAGAAUAAUUGCAAAAGCCUUUUUUUGCUCAC